UACGUAGGGUGCAAGCGUUGUCCGGAAUUAUUGGGCGUAAAAAGCGUGUAGGCGGCUCGAUUAGUCUGCUGUGAAAGUCCAGGGCUCAACCCUGGAAUGCCGGUGGAUACUGUCGAGCUAGAGUCCGGAAGGGGCGAGUGGAAUUCCUGGUGUAGCGGUGAAAUGCGCAGAUAUCAGGAGGAACACCGAUGGCGAAGGCAGCUCGCUGGGACGUGACUGACGCUGAGACGCGAAAACGUGGGGAGCAAACAGG
RNAcentral lists this ribosomal RNA (253 nucleotides) under uncultured bacterium. RNAcentral's name for it is "partial 16S ribosomal RNA". It matches the Rfam family "Bacterial small subunit ribosomal RNA", at positions 524 to 776 of the family's 1533-position model. The record is from RNAcentral.